This 1145-nucleotide unclassified non-coding RNA is filed under the name Hevea brasiliensis (rubber tree). The record is from RNAcentral. Lineage: Eukaryota; Viridiplantae; Streptophyta; Magnoliopsida; Malpighiales; Euphorbiaceae.
AGAUGCCAAAAUAGAAGAUUUCCUGUGGAAGGAAAGUGCUAUCAUACUCGCCAAAAUUUUGCUUCCUCAAAUAUUUGAGAAAAUGGCGAUGCAAGAUUUGAGAGCUCUUGUUUCAGACUGGUCAAUGAUAAAUAUACACUUAAGUGGAGAAUCAAUUGAAAUACCUCACCAUUCCAUUGGUUUUCUCUUAGAAGGAUUUGUGAGAUCCCAUGGCUUUCAAGAAGAAUUGAUUACAUCUCCUGCAGCGCUCUUACCUCGGCACGGAAAUCAGAGCUUUGGAAAUGCACAUGGAAAUCAAAACAUUCAAAAUGAAGAAAUAAAUGGUGCCAGGACAGCCAGUUUCUCUCAUGAAAGAUCCCGGUAUCAAGUUGAGACGAGAGCAAGAGUGAUAAUUUUUGACAUUGCAGCUUUUGAAACUGCUACCGCUCUGCUGAGAAGGUCAUCUUCUUUCAUACCGCAUACAGGUGAUCAUCCCCANACCUCUAAGCAGAGAACGUGGUCUUAUGAGUUGGCCUGAAAAUUUCUACAAGGAAAAACGGCACAAGCAGAAUCUUGAAAAUGGACAAGAAAAUAGUUUGCCUGCAAGAGCAAUGCAGCUGAGCAUUUUUGGCAGCAUGGUUGACGUGCAACGGCGUGCCCAUUGUUCUUCAAGCAGUCUAUACCAGCGAUCACAUAGCAUGUUCUCACGAGCUGCAUCACUUCGUGGCCGUCCGCUAGUUUCUGUUAGAUCAGAAGGAUCUAAUACUUUAAGGAAGAACCUUCAUGUGAAAAGGUUUUCGCGGAAUGUUACUGCUCUCCCACAGCAGAGGGCAGACACAAAUGAGAGCCAUGUCUUGGAUUAUUCUAGUGACGAAUCUGGUGCCGAAGAUGAUCACAUAAUAAGAAUCGACUCACCAAGUAGGCUUUCUUUCCGCCUGGCUACCUAAAUUUGCAUUCCCUGUUAUCCCCAUCGUAGAUAUUUGUGUUUACAUGAAUUUUUGUGUUCCUACUUUAAAAAUUUGUUUGUACAAAGGCAUCUGAAUAAAUAAGAUGGCUCCUCAAGCCGUCUGAUUUAGGAAAAGUAGCUCAAUUGGUGCUGAGCAUGAGAUUCAAUUUUGUACCUUUGCUUCCAUCAUCUAUGAUAGAACCAGUAACCUUGUUUUAAA